CUCGGAGUUUGAUCCUGGCUCAGGAUGAACGCUAGCGGCAGGCUUAACACAUGCAAAGUCGAGGGGUAUAGUUCUUCGGAACUAGAGACCGGCGCACGGGUGCGUAACGCGUAUGCAAUCUACCUUAUACAGAGGGAUAGCCCAGAGAAAUUUGGAUUAAUACCUCAUAGUAUGUGAGAAUCGCAUGGUUUUUCACAUUAAAGUUCCAACGGUAAAAGAUGAGCAUGCGUCCCAUUAGCUAGAUGGUAAGGUAACGGCUUACCAUGGCGACGAUGGGGUAGGGGUCCUGAGAGGGAGACUCCCCCGACACUGGUACUGAGACACGGACCAGACU
RNAcentral lists this ribosomal RNA (334 nucleotides) under uncultured Flavobacterium sp. RNAcentral's name for it is "bacterial SSU rRNA". It matches the Rfam family "Bacterial small subunit ribosomal RNA", at positions 1 to 337 of the family's 1533-position model. Lineage: Bacteria; Pseudomonadati; Bacteroidota; Flavobacteriia; Flavobacteriales; Flavobacteriaceae. The record is from RNAcentral.